GAUAAACGCUAGCGGCAGGCUUAACACAUGCAAGUCGAGGGGCAGCAUAGAUUGUAGCAAUACAAUUGGUGGCGACCGGCGCACGGGUGCGUAACGCGUAUGCAACCUACCCGUCACAGGGGGAUAAUCCGGAGAAAUCUGGUCUAAUACCCCAUAACAUAUGGAUCGGCAUCGGUUCAUGUUGAAAUUUUCGGAGGUGACGGAUGGGCAUGCGUAGCAUUAGCUUGUUGGUGAGGUAACGGCUCACCAAGGCGACGAUGCUUAGGGGGACUGAGAGGUUUUCCCCCCAAACUGGUACGGAGACACGGACCAGACUCCUACGGGAGGCAGCAGUGAGGAAUAUUGGUCAAUGGGCGCAAGCCUGAACCAGCCAUGCCGCGUGCAGGAUGACGGCUCUAUGAGUUGUAAACUGCUUUUGUACGAGGGUAAAGUGGGUUACGUGUAACCUUUUGAAAGUAUCGUACGAAUAAGGAUCGGCUAACUCCGUGCCAGCAGCCGCGGUAA
Molecule: ribosomal RNA, 504 nt
Filed under: uncultured bacterium
Lineage: Bacteria
Description: partial 16S ribosomal RNA
Rfam family: Bacterial small subunit ribosomal RNA
Source: RNAcentral